RNAcentral lists this ribosomal RNA (497 nucleotides) under uncultured bacterium. RNAcentral's name for it is "partial 16S ribosomal RNA". It matches the Rfam family "Bacterial small subunit ribosomal RNA", at positions 28 to 507 of the family's 1533-position model. The record is from RNAcentral.
GAUGAACGCUGGCGGCGUGCCUAAUACAUGCAAGUCGAGCGAACGGACGAGCUGCUUUCUUUUCUGGUGUUCGCGGCGGACGGGUGUGUAACACGUAGAUAACCUACCUAUAAGGCUGGGAUAACUUCGGCGAACCGGAGCUAAUACCCGCUAAUAUUUUGAACCGCAAGGUUCAAAAGUGAAAGACGGUCUUCCUGUCACUUAUAGAUUGAUCCGCGCUGCAUUAGCUAGUUGGUAAGGUAACGGCUUACCAAGGCAACGAUGCAUAGCCGACCUGAGAGGGUGAUCGGCCACACUGGAACUGAGACACGGUCCAGACUCCUACGGGAGGCAGCAGUAGGGAAUUUUCCGCAAUGGGCGAAAGCCUGACGGAGCAACGCCGCGUGAGUGAUGAAGGUCUUCGGAUCGUAAAACUCUGUUAGUAGGGAAGAACAUAUGUGUAAGUAACUGGGCAGUGCUUGACGGUACCUAAACAGAAAGCCACGGCUAACUACGUG